Zingiber officinale is the source of this 592-nucleotide long non-coding RNA. RefSeq lists it as uncharacterized. Lineage: Eukaryota; Viridiplantae; Streptophyta; Magnoliopsida; Zingiberales; Zingiberaceae. The transcript is spliced from 2 exons. The record is from RefSeq and is a predicted model, not a curated record.
GAUCAUCGUUUCGUCACAAUGGUUCCUUCCUAUCAACUGUACCCAAUUGAUACACACGUGAGAGUCCGCUUUACGCACACAACGUCUUCAAGCGGGACCCACAUGCCAAUACAGAUCCCUGCACUGCGGGGUAAAAGAGUGAGUAUGGAAAAGAUCAUCCCCGUCUGACACCUGCACAAAGCGAACCUCUUUCUUUUCUCUCCCCCUCAGGAGAUCGGAACCUCUCGCCGCCACUUUCGAGGAAAGAAAAGAGCCAAUGGAGGUCGCCUUCGCUUGAUCCGCUUGUCCCAGGACCUCCGGGAAGCUUCGUGCCUCUCCGAAGUGCUCGGUCCGUGUAGGUUUUCAGAUCGAUCUGAUCUUUGCUGCGGAGUUUGAUGGCAUCAGAGGAUGUGGUGGGGAAGAGCACGGGGGAAUCGGCGGUGACGACGAUAGUGAAUCUCGCGGAGGAGGCGAAGCUCGCGCGAGAGGGAGUCAAGGCUCCCAGUCACGCGAUCCUGAGCAUCUGCAAGUCCCUUGUGGCCGGUGGAGUAGCGGGAGGAGUAUCAAGAACAGCUGUUGCUCCACUUGAGCGGCUAAAAAUCCUAUUGCAGGU